Molecule: ribosomal RNA, 591 nt
Filed under: Salmonella enterica subsp. enterica serovar Typhimurium
Lineage: Bacteria; Pseudomonadati; Pseudomonadota; Gammaproteobacteria; Enterobacterales; Enterobacteriaceae
Description: partial 23S ribosomal RNA
Rfam family: Bacterial large subunit ribosomal RNA
Source: RNAcentral
ACAUAAGUAACGAUAAAGCGGGUGAAAAGCCCGCUCGCCGGAAGACCAAGGGUUCCUGUCCAACGUUAAUCGGGGCAGGGUGAGUCGACCCCUAAGGCGAGGCCGAAAGGCGUAGUCGAUGGGAAACGGGUUAAUAUUCCCGUACUUGGUGUUACUGCGAAGGGGGGACGGAGAAGGCUAUGUUGGCCGGGCGACGGUUGUCCCGGUUUAAGCGUGUAGGUGUGUGUUCCAGGUAAAUCCGGUUCACUUUAACACUGAGGCGUGACGACGAGGCACUACGGUGCUGAAGCAACAAAUGCCCUGCUUCCAGGAAAAGCCUCUAAGCAUCAGGUAACAUCAAAUCGUACCCCAAACCGACACAGGUGGUCAGGUAGAGAAUACCAAGGCGCUUGAGAGAACUCGGGUGAAGGAACUAGGCAAAAUGGUGCCGUAACUUCGGGAGAAGGCACGCUGACACGUAGGUGAAGUGAUUUACUCAUGGAGCUGAAGUCAGUCGAAGAUACCAGCUGGCUGCAACUGUUUAUUAAAAACACAGCACUGUGCAAACACGAAAGUGGACGUAUACGGUGUGACGCCUGCCCGGUGCCGGAA